CGUGUUCGUGGGCGUCGGCUGGUGCUCGUGGAAUGUAAGGACAGCGCGCGCGCCGCCGUGCUCAACCGCCCUGGCAACCUCGACGCCCUCACCACCACCAUGGGAGCUAGGCUCAAUAAGUUUUAUGAAUCAUGGGAGGACAACCCAGACAUUGGCUUUGUUAUGAUGAAGGUAUGGCGCUUCAUCAUUUUCGUGCUCUUAUUGUUGCUAAAGAAAUAUAAAUUGAGGUGUUGAUCGCGUGAAGGGCAGCGGCCGAGCAUUCUGUGCUGGUGGGGAUGUUAUUAGAUUGCAUGAACUUGUCAGUGAAGACAAGUUGGAGGAAUGCAAGGAUUUUUUUCAAGACGUUGUACAGGUUCAUUUAUUUUUUGGGAACAUACUUGAAACCGCACGU
This is a long non-coding RNA of Phragmites australis (common reed), 391 nucleotides long. RefSeq lists it as uncharacterized. The record is from RefSeq and is a predicted model, not a curated record. Lineage: Eukaryota; Viridiplantae; Streptophyta; Magnoliopsida; Poales; Poaceae. The transcript has 3 exons.